Molecule: ribosomal RNA, 902 nt
Filed under: uncultured bacterium
Lineage: Bacteria
Description: bacterial SSU rRNA
Rfam family: Bacterial small subunit ribosomal RNA
Source: RNAcentral
AGAGUUUGAUCCUGGCUCAGGAUGAACGCUAGCGGGAGGCUUAACACAUGCAAGCCGAGGGGUAUAUAAUUGCUUGCAAUUAUAGAGACCGGCGGAUGGGUGAGUAACGCGUAUGAAACCUGCCCUACUCAUCAGGAUAGCCCUAGGAAACUGGGAUUAAUACUGAAUAACACUAAUAUCGGCAUCGAUGUUGGUUAAAAGAUUUAUCGGAAUAGGAUGGUCAUGCGUCAGAUUAGUUAGUUGGUAGGGUAACGGCCUACCAAGGCAAUGAUCUGUAGGGGGCCUGAGAGGGUGAUCCCCCACACUGGUACUGAGACACGGACCAGACUCCUACGGGAGGCAGCAGUGAGGAAUAUUGGACAAUGGGUGAGAGCCUGAUCCAGCCAUCCCGCGUGCAGGAAGAAUGCCUUAUGGGUUGUAAACUGCUUUUAUACAGGAAUAAACCACUUUACGUGUAAGGUGUUGAAGGUACUGUAUGAAUAAGCAUCGGCUAACUCCGUGCCAGCAGCCGCGGUAAUACGGAGGAUGCAAGCGUUAUCCGGAUUUAUUGGGUUUAAAGGGUCCGUAGGCGGGCAUAUAAGUCAGAGGUGAAAUCCGACAGCUUAACUGUCGAACUGCCUUUGAAACUGUAUGUCUUGAGUGAGAUUGAAGCAGCUGGAAUGUGUAGUGUAGCGGUGAAAUGCAUAGAUAUUACACAGAACACCGAUAGCGAAGGCAGGUUGCUAAGUCUUUACUGACGCUGAUGGACGAAAGCGUGGGGAGCAAACAGGAUUAGAUACCCUGGUAGUCCACGCCGUAAACGUUGGAUACUGUCUAUUGGAAUUUUCAGUGGAUAAGCGAAAGUGAUAAGUAUCCCACCUGGGGAGUACGUUCGCAAGAAUGAAACUCAAAUGAAUUGACGG